UGGUUAUCCAAAGAGGCUGUUCC
This 23-nucleotide non-coding RNA is filed under the name Rattus norvegicus (Norway rat). The record is from RNAcentral. Lineage: Eukaryota; Metazoa; Chordata; Mammalia; Rodentia; Muridae.